RNAcentral lists this ribosomal RNA (253 nucleotides) under uncultured bacterium. RNAcentral's name for it is "partial 16S ribosomal RNA". It matches the Rfam family "Bacterial small subunit ribosomal RNA", at positions 524 to 776 of the family's 1533-position model. The record is from RNAcentral.
UACAGAGACUGCGAGCGUUAUUCGGAUUCACUGGGCGUAAAGCGUGCGCAGGCGGUUUUGUAAGCCAGAUGUGAAAGCCCCGGGCUCAACCUGGGAAUGGCAUUUGGGACUGCAAGGCUUGAGUGCGGCAGAGGAGACUGGAAUUCCUGGUGUAGCAGUGAAAUGCGUAGAUAUCAGGAGGAAUACCGAUGGCGAAGGCAGGUCUCUGGGCUGACACUGACGCUCAUGCACGAAAGCGUGGGGAGCAAACAGG